UACGGAAGGUCCAGGCGUUAUCUGGAUUUAUUGGGUUUAAAGGGAGCGUAGGCCGUUUGGUAAGCGUGUUGUGAAAUGUCGGGGCUCAACCUGGGCAUUGCAGCGCGAACUGCCAGACUUGAGUGCGCAGGAAGUAGGCGGAAUUCGUCGUGUAGCGGUGAAAUGCUUAGAUAUGACGAAGAACUCCGAUUGCGAAGGCAGCCUGCUGUAGCGCAACUGACGCUGAAGCUCGAAAGCGUGGGUAUCGAACAGG
This 253-nucleotide ribosomal RNA is filed under the name Leyella stercorea DSM 18206. RNAcentral's name for it is "Prevotella stercorea DSM 18206 partial 16S ribosomal RNA". It matches the Rfam family "Bacterial small subunit ribosomal RNA", at positions 524 to 776 of the family's 1533-position model. Lineage: Bacteria; Pseudomonadati; Bacteroidota; Bacteroidia; Bacteroidales; Prevotellaceae. The record is from RNAcentral.